AUGGAUGGACGGGCGUCCGUGCGGUGGUCUAGCUGGUCCGUGGCCCAGGACGUUUACUUUUUGGGCCGAGCUUUGGAACAGCGUGCGCGUCCGGUCGAGGUGGCCCGGCCAGGUCGCAAAUGUGAGGGCGUCUGUCUGCCCGACCCUGACCUAGGUGCUUCUCAAAAAAAAAAAGGUGCUUCUCGAAACCUGCCGCCGCCGCAGACGGCUACUUCCCAUCCCCAAGGCUGCGCGGAAGGCUGUGGUUGCUCCGGCUGGCUGGUGAUGGAGGACGCUAGCUUGAGUUCUUGUUGGACGCCGAUGACGGGUUUUCGCUGGGAGAAGAGUUUGCGGACAGCUAGGAAGAACCAGAUCCGGUCCCUCUGCGGUGCUCCCGCGGCUGAAUGCUGCCCCUGCUAUGCCGGCGGACUCGAAUAUUGGCUCCGGGUGCGGGCAGCAUGUUGGUGGCUCCGGAGGGCAACAAGCGCCGGCGACGGCAGGCUUCUCCGACGAUGUAGCAGGCCCCUGACAGGGUCAAUCCCGAGGCGCCGGGCUGGACCAAAAGGUACGAUGGAGAUAAAUAGGUUACACCUUGGGAGUGCACCGUCCGACAAAACGCCGUGUCCAUCUAGGAUGAGCGCCUUAGAGCAGACAAGUCGCAAGUAUGCAGAUCAGCCUGCAAAAAAUGUGCGGCCUGAACUAGGACUGAGUUUCUACUCGCUUGAUGAUUUGUAUGACUUCUACAACUUGUAUUCGUGGGAGAUUAGCUUUGGGAUUAGAUAUGUCAAGAACAAAUUGAAUGCCGAGCGGACCAAAUCAAUGCAGGAGAUUGGAAAGCUCAUUCUUGACACUAGUUGUUUCUGUGCAGGCCUUGUUGGGCCUGCUGCUCCGGAAGAGCAGACAGGUGUCGACAGGCCAACGAAUAGCCGGGAGAAAGCACCGUAUGAUAUUCUGCAGGCUGCAGCAUUUGUCAUCGCAAAGGCCACAAGAGAACAACCUACCCCGACAGGGAAUGCAAGAGCACCAUCGGUGGUGCUCAAAAUCAGAUCGAUACAUCAGGUAUACAGGCAGAAAUACAACCGUGGGCACACAUCUUCAUGCGAUCAGAUGGGGAGGAUUUCAAGAUCAGCUGAGCCCGUGCUCAGAAUUGAAUAUCCGCUACCAUGUGAUGGAGCUGCCAAGGUGCACCCAUCAACCAUCGUCCUGAAUCCGUGGAGGUUCCAGUGCCCAUCAUUUAUUCCAGUAUAA
Molecule: ribosomal RNA, 1227 nt
Filed under: Triticum aestivum (bread wheat)
Lineage: Eukaryota; Viridiplantae; Streptophyta; Magnoliopsida; Poales; Poaceae
Description: partial small subunit ribosomal RNA
Source: RNAcentral